CCAGAGAACUUUCCAGAGAUGGGAUUGGUGCCUUCGGGAACUCUGAGACAGGUGCUGCAUGGCUGUCGUCAGCUCGUGUUGUGAAAUGUUGGGUUAAGUCCCGCAACGAGCGCAACCCUUAUCCUUUGUUGCCAGCGGUUAGGCCGGGAACUCAAAGGAGACUGCCAGUGAUAAACUGGAGGAAGGUGGGGAUGACGUCAAGUCAUCAUGGCCCUUACGAGUAGGGCUACACACGUGCUACAAUGGCGCAUACAAAGAGAAGCGACCUCGCGAGAGCAAGCGGACCUCAUAAAGUGCGUCGUAGUCCGGAUUGGAGUCUGCAACUCGACUCCAUGAAGUCGGAAUCGCUAGUAAUCGUGGAUCAGAAUGCCACGGUGAAUACGUUCCCGGGCCUUGUACACACCGCCCGUCACACCAUGGGAGUGGGUUGCAAAAGAAGUAGGUAGCUUAACCUUCGGGAGGGCGCUUACCACUUUGUGAUUCAUGACUGGGGUGAAGUCGUAACAAGGUAAGCGUAGUGCU
This 522-nucleotide ribosomal RNA is filed under the name uncultured bacterium. RNAcentral's name for it is "bacterial SSU rRNA". It matches the Rfam family "Bacterial small subunit ribosomal RNA", at positions 988 to 1509 of the family's 1533-position model. The record is from RNAcentral.